GGGGGUUAUCUCCCUCCCUGGCUCCUCUCUUCUCUCUCUGCCUCCUGUCCAAUCAUGUGAGCCACUUACUCCUCCAGAUACUUCCACCAUGCUGAUUAUGCCUGGAGUAGGCUGACUGUGCAAGGACUGAAACUUCUGAAAUGAAUGAAGACUUUCUAUGGAAAUGAAUUGGAAAUCUGUUUGCAUCAAUCUUCUAAAAGGACUGAGUGAAAAAGAAUCCUGAGAGGGAAUAGAUUUUAGAAAGCAAAUACUCAGCAGAAGAUCACAUUAAAAUGGCAAUAACACCACUGGAUAAAUGAAACCUCCCCAACUCACCUCACCGUACUUCCCAAUCCACCAUCAGUAAAUGUGAUCAAUUUUACAGUCUAAGAAAAUUAAAAUUCUGUUUUACAGGGAUCCAACAACAAAAUGUAGUCUCUUGGUGGCAUCUCUUGGAUAUAGAGGCUCCCAUCUUGCUCAAAAUGUAAACCCAACUCACCACAGUCAUUUUCCACUAGAGCAAUGGGAGGGAGAUGAGGAGAGAUAAGAGGGAAGAAAGAUGGAGAGAGGGGAAACUUGUCAAUUUUUAGUUAAAAGUUCUCAUUUUCUAGCAAAAUGUAAGCUCUGUGAGUGAAUCUCUUCUGGAUUUACUUGGGUUUCCUGUUAAAAAUGGCUUCCAACUGUUACAUGAACCCCUGCCCACAGUGGAGAAUGAGGAAAAAUGAAAGCCUUUUACCUAAUCCUUUAUUUUCUCCAAAUGCUGGGAAAGGGGAAGGUUGGGGGUCAGUCAUUUUUCCCUUAGGAUAACUGAAGUGUUAACAUUUAACCAGAGAUUAGCUGUACCCAUAAAACUGACCUGGAUGUAACAACUGAAAAUGAAUUUUUUUUUUUUUUUUGCAUUUUUCAGUAAAAAUGCCCCUUAUUCCUACACAGACUAUGAAAUCAUCCUCUUCAAACUAGACUCCAAAUCAGAACACUGUGAAAACCACUGCAUGGGCUUGGACUGUUGAACCCUGCCUCUUUUUCCACCCCCCUUUCCUUUCUUACUAUGCUGAUUCGCUGUUCUUCCACUUCCUUUCCUCCCUGUCUGUGUCCUUGGCUUGCCUUCAUGAGACGCUGUCUUCUGUGAAGCCAUGAGAAAGUGCCACUUGGCCCAGUGUUAGGCAAGCUCUCUGCAGGGAGAACACCCCACAUGGCAGCUUUGCUUGGCUCAAAGAAGACUGGGUGCAAACCCUGGAGCUAUAGCUGGCCCCACCCUUACCUCAACUGUCCAGGGCGCUACAGGUAUGGUGGUGGAGAUCCAUUCAGCAUGAUGAGCUGUCUUCUAGUAUUUCCCUGUUCCUACUGCUCUUCCUCACAAGUCAGCCAGCCUCACCCUCUUUUGUGUGUGCCUGAGGAGCCUAGAAUAGGAAUCCCCUCCUCCUGAUCACUCCAGGGAUGUUGCUAAGCACUACCAUGGGAAUCUAGAAAUCUAAGCUCAACUGGGAAGAAGCAAUGAGAGGUGAACCAUCGACUAGUGAAAACGGUCCUGCUAGGAUAUGCUUGGAGAACUCCAUCCUGGGUCGUGGUGUGGGCUCACUUCAUUUCUCAGGGCCUCACCCAAGUGUCUGGAACCCACUGUUCUCCAUGAUGGCUUUGUUUGGUUUUGAAUAAUCUACAAAAGACCAGAAACAAAAGAAAGUAAACAAAGAAGAAGCAAAAAAAGGAAAAUUUGAUGUAUUACAGAUAAAUCUUACCAAAUUCCUCCCUCCUAUUUCCAUGGCCCAGAAAUAUAUUUCAAGGAAAACGUAAAAAUUUGUUGAGAAUUUUACUGAUAAAGUUGUUCAGGGUGGCAUUGUUUAUAAAAUUAAAAACUAGAAAAAACCCUAAAUGUCUAAUGAUAAGAAUAUUUAUGAUAACAACAUAGUCAUUUAAUUGAUGUUGUAGAAAAAUGAUUUCGACUUGGAAAUUCAAGAUUUGUUACUGAGUGAAGAAGUCAUUUAUCAAACAAUAUACACAAUAUGAGCCCUUUUCUGUGAAAAAUACAUAUAUGGCAGCAGGAAAAACAUCAAAUGUUAACCAUGGUUUUAUCUUUGGAGAGAAGAUUACGGUUUCAUUUUUUUCUUCUUUUAUGUCUCUGCAUUCAUUAAUUUCUGCAAUUCACGCAGCACUUUUGAGAAGAGAAAAAUGAUUAGAAUUUUAAAAUCAUUAUGUUGGAUUCCCUAAUAACAAUUCCUUCUUGUAAAGCACUUUUCUGAAAUUUGGAGAUUGAGACCUCCCCUACAAAUACUUUGUGACAAGCAUGAAAGUUAGUGCUGCUGAGAGAAGAGCCUUAGGCCAACUUCUUUGCAAAUUAUUAGUGAAAUACUUUAUUAGGGAGUCCAAUAAUUUAUAUUAUUAUUGUAUCAAGCGAUGUUUAAUGAGUGUCGACUAUUUUCUCUGCCUGGUGAACAGUGCUAAACAGCAUUCAUCUUUGAUUCCUUCUUUGAUUGCAAGAGUGGUUAACUGUCAAUUGCUUUACAAGCAAUUUAAACAAGCCAGCGGAAUGCUUUCAUUUUUUAAAGAUGUAUUUGAUAAUGUAUCACUAGUAAAAAUUGAAAGUGGUUAAUGCCAAGAUCUACUCUUGGAUUUUUUUUUAAUUCACAUAGCCUUUUCUCAUUCUGCAGGGUUACAAAGUCUCAUGUUUCAGUAUUUUCAUAUUUAACAGCUCAAUGUAAAUAGUACCAGUUAAUAUCCAACAGAGGGGCUGGGGUGUAGCUCAGCGAUAGAGUGCUUGCCUGCCAUACAGGAAGCCCUGGGUUAGAUUCUUAGUUUAAAAAGAGAAAAAGAAAGAAAAUGUAUAAACUACUUGGGAAUAACAGUACCUGUAAUUACCUGUAUAGAAGUGGAGGGGGAAACAAUGCUUAAGACAAAGUUGUAAGAUAUUAAUCAGGGUGACUUGUUCAAAUGUCACCAAUUUUCUAUAGUUUAGAAAAGGAGGGCCAGGGAUUUAGCUCAGUGGUUCCACAGCCUGCCUCUCAAGCAGAAGGUCCCAAGUUCAAUCCCUGGUACCAAAAAGAAAAGAAAGAAAAGAAAAGGCUUCAAGAGAUCUUAGCUUCUCUAGGCCUCUGAUCUCAUCCACAUAAACCUUCUACCAUCUUUCUGUGUGUCUUAAUUCCUGAGAGCUGCCCAUGGGAAGUUGAGGGUAAAGCAUUCCUAAAUAACUAUUAAAACUAAAAGUCAACACUGUGCCCUCGCUUUCCUACAUGGGAUGGGAUCGCGUGCCAUUUCUAGCAGCUGUGGUCAAUUCUGAAUACAGUUUUCCCAUUGAACCUGUGAGGAAAAAUAAGCUGCACUGGGUUUGCUGCUCUUUGAAUGCCAUGGCUUUCCUUUCCUAAGUGGGAAAGAAAGUUCAUUAAGAAGGAAGCCAUAUGAAGCUUAACUUUCCAGCAAAUCCAUCACCCCUUAAGUACUCUCCAUGCUCCAUAGCUCCCAGGAAAACACCUUAGAUUCCUAAGUAUCAGAAAUAUUACAACUUCCUAUCCUUCCUCAAGUCAGUGUUCAGUUUGUCUUUACUAUAAUAUUUUGUUCUUUGGGUCUAAGAAUACGUAGGGGCCAGCCCCAUCAGGUCAAGUAGAGAGUGCUUUGGGGACUGGGAAAUGUCACCUCAUUGCAAAAUUAACCCAUCCAUACCAAAAAUGAUUUCUCAAGAAACAAAAAGCCAAAACAGAAUAAAACAAAAUGAUGCUUUUAAAUUCCAAAUCCACAUUUACUGUCACAAAAUAAAUGUGUUAAAUGCAUUAAUUUGAUUCUUUCAGGCUAUGAUAGUCUAGAUGAAGACAAAAAAAAUUAGUAUCAUACUUUUGAGUCUUGUCAAUUUGAAAACACAUGGAACUUUUAAAAUAGAAUGUUCUUGACAACAGGCACAAAGCAGCAUUUCUGUUUUUAUUGAGAUCCAUUGGAUGGUGAAAUCUGGAAUGUUCCUUAUUCAUGUAUUUAAUAUCUAUGUUUAUCACCAACCUGGGGUGAAGGAGGAAUUAUCAGGCAAAUUCUCAGUCAAGAUGGGGCCUUAGUGGAUUUUUUUUUUUUGGUACUGGAAUCGAACUCAGGACCUUGCACUUGUGAGGCAGGCGGUGGAACCACUGAGCUAAAUCCCCAGCCCUCAGUGGAUUUUUUAAAGAGAGAAAUGCUGAGGCUUGGGGAUUCCUAGGGACCGGUUUCAUUUUUGUGUAGGUGGCCAGCUGAGGGAAGAGACUGGGCAGACAUAUGCAAAAGGAACAAUUCCCAUGCCGGUAUUUUAGAAGUAUGAGAACACAACAACACAUUUUGCCCAUGUGUUUGCCCUGAAGCACAGGGAAGGGAAGGUUCCUGGUCAAAUAAACCUAAUCCAGUUAGUCAUUCUGGUAGAAUCCUGAUUCCAGGGCUUGGUGUUAUUAAUAAAUGAGGCCACUGUAAAACAGGAAGCAGUUUACUGCACAGACAUUUCAAGGAGAGAAAUAAAAGUCCACAGUGUCUCUGGAUCCUCAACUUCAUCAUAGCCUCACUCUUUCCCUCCAUAAGGGUGAGAGGAACCUUCAAGAAAGUCUCCAGUCUUCCUUAGGCUUUCUGAAGAAAGUGAAUAAUCACAGCAGACAAGUGCAAAUACGAUGUGUUGCUCAAAGACCAAGUUGGCAGCUCACCCUUAUUCUAAACAGCCAGUAGCCACCCUGGAGAACAGCCUGCUUCAUUCAGGGGAGCUGAAGGCCCCAUGGGAGACGGGCACUUACCUCAGUCAGCACUGGUCUUCUCUCAGUCCCAGACCCCUCCUCUGGCUGGCAGGAAGGUGUGUAGGGGCGAGAGUCCUGCGUUUCUGUCGCUUU
This 4796-nucleotide long non-coding RNA is filed under the name Heterocephalus glaber (naked mole-rat). RNAcentral's name for it is "lncRNA (ENSHGLG00100051637.1)". The record is from RNAcentral. Lineage: Eukaryota; Metazoa; Chordata; Mammalia; Rodentia; Bathyergidae.